UGGGGAAGCGAUCUCCCCACGAGGCGACAGCCGAAGCGUCGC
This 42-nucleotide non-coding RNA is filed under the name unclassified sequences. The record is from RNAcentral.